Molecule: unclassified non-coding RNA, 420 nt
Filed under: soil metagenome
Description: partial contains 5.8S ribosomal RNA, internal transcribed spacer 2, and large subunit ribosomal RNA
Rfam family: 5.8S ribosomal RNA (bases 1-121)
Source: RNAcentral
GAUGAAGAACGCAGCGAAAUGCGAUAGGUAGUGUGAAUUGCAGAUGUAACGUGAAUCAUCGAAUCUUUGAACGCAAAUUGCAUUCCCUGGUAUUCCGGGGAGUAUGCCUGUUUGAGGGUCGCCAAAUACACAUCGAUUAACAUUGCUUUUGAAGUAAAUGUUUAUCGGAUUUGAGCUUUCUUUAUUCUUAAAAUGACAAGGAUAAAGUGGUUUAAAAUUUAUUUUUUUUUGGUAUCAAGCGUAUUUUACAAUCAAUUUUUGAUUAAAAAAGAACGUUUCGAAUGCCAUCCUUUUAAUGUAAUACGUUUGACUAUAUGUAAUAAAUAUGUAGUUCAUUCGCAUACGAUUCAUAAAUUUUUUUUUUGACCUCAAAUCAGGUAAGAGUACCCGCUGAACUUAAGCAUAUCAAUAAGCGGAGGA